UUUUAUGAGAGUUUGAUCCUGGCUCAGGACGAACGCUGGCGGCGUGCCUAAUACAUGCAAGUCGUACGCUUCUUUUUCCACCGGAGCUUGCUCCACCGGAAAAAGAAGAGUGGCGAACGGGUGAGUAACACGUGGGUAACCUGCCCAUCAGAAGGGGAUAACACUUGGAAACAGGUGCUAAUACCGUAUAACAAUCGAAAUCGCAUGAUUUUGAUUUGAAAGGCGCU
Molecule: ribosomal RNA, 227 nt
Filed under: Enterococcus faecium
Lineage: Bacteria; Bacillati; Bacillota; Bacilli; Lactobacillales; Enterococcaceae
Description: partial 16S ribosomal RNA
Rfam family: Bacterial small subunit ribosomal RNA
Source: RNAcentral